AUUGAACGCUGGCGGCAGGCCUAACACAUGCAAGUCGAGCGGAUGAAGGGAGCUUGCUCUUGGAUUCAGCGGCGGACGGGUGAGUAAUGCCUAGGAAUCUGCCUGGCAGUGGGGGCUAACGUCCGUAAACGGGCGCUAAUACCGCAUACGUCCUGAUGGAGAAAGUGGGGGAUCUUCGGACCUCACGCUAUCAGAUGAGCCUAGGUCGGAUUAGCUAGUUGGUGGGGUAAAGGCCUACCAAGGCGACGAUCCGUAACUGGUCUGAGAGGCUGAUCAGUCACACUGGAACUGAGACACGGUCCAGACUCCUACGGGAGGCAGCAGUAGGGAAUAUUGGGCAAUGGGCGAAAGCCUGAUCCAGCCAUGCCGCGUGUGUGAAGAAGGUCUUCGGAUUGUAAAGCACUUUAAGUUGGGAGGAAGGGCAGUAAGUUAAUACCUUGCUGUUUUGACGUUACCAACAGAAUAAGCACCGGCUAACUUCGUG
This 484-nucleotide ribosomal RNA is filed under the name uncultured bacterium. RNAcentral's name for it is "partial 16S ribosomal RNA". It matches the Rfam family "Bacterial small subunit ribosomal RNA", at positions 30 to 507 of the family's 1533-position model. The record is from RNAcentral.